This 228-nucleotide ribosomal RNA is filed under the name uncultured bacterium. RNAcentral's name for it is "partial 16S ribosomal RNA". It matches the Rfam family "Bacterial small subunit ribosomal RNA", at positions 103 to 334 of the family's 1533-position model. The record is from RNAcentral.
CGGGUGAGUAAUGUCUGGGAAACUGCCUGAUGGAGGGGGAUAACUACUGGAAACGGUAGCUAAUACCGCAUAACGUCUUCGGACCAAAGUGGGGGACCUUCGGGCCUCACGCUAUCGGAUGUGCCCAGAUGGGAUUAGCUAGUAGGUGGGGUAAUGGCUCACCUAGGCGACGAUCCCUAGCUGGUCUGAGAGGAUGACCAGCCACACUGGAACUGAGACACGGUCCAG